GAUGAAGAACGCAGUGAAAUGCGAUAAGUAGUGCGAAUUGCAGAAUUCAGUGAAUCAUCGAAUCUUUGAACGCACAUUGCGCCCCUCGGUAUUCCGUGGGGCAUGCCUGUUCGAGCGUCAUUUACCCCUCAAGCACUGCUUGGUGUUGGGCGUCUGUCCCGCUUCGCGCGCGGACUCGCCCCAAAGGUAUUGGCAGCGGUCGUGCCAGCUUCUCGCGCAGCACAUUGCGCUUCUCGAGGCGGUCGAUCGGCGUCCACGAAGCUCACCUCCACCGUUUGACCUCGGAUCAGGUAGGGAUACCCGCUGAACUUAAGCAUAUCAAUAAGCGGAGGA
This 333-nucleotide unclassified non-coding RNA is filed under the name soil metagenome. RNAcentral's name for it is "partial contains 5.8S ribosomal RNA, internal transcribed spacer 2, and large subunit ribosomal RNA". The stretch from base 1 to 120 matches the Rfam family "5.8S ribosomal RNA", at positions 35 to 154 of the family's 154-position model. The record is from RNAcentral.